RNAcentral lists this long non-coding RNA (2131 nucleotides) under Homo sapiens (human). RNAcentral's name for it is "HSALNT0068282". Lineage: Eukaryota; Metazoa; Chordata; Mammalia; Primates; Hominidae. The record is from RNAcentral.
UUUACACCGGUUAAUCAAUUACUGAACAGUUGCAGUAUCCUCCUCUCUUUUGCUGUUAGCUGGUGCUAACUGAAGUAAAAGCGAGUGUCAUCUCUCCGGCCCUCACCGCUGCCUUCACCACCAUUUACCCACGCGGAUGUUGAGCUUCCCGCCAGGGCUCAGGGAGCUCACAGUGGGAAGCAGAGGGCUUGAGAAGGGGUGGCUCUGCCUGACACUCCCCGGCUCCCAGCUGGGCCCACUUCCAGGUAGUGGGUUGGGGCAGGACCCGCAGGGCACAGUGCUUCCCCUGCCCUUCCCCACGGGGUUGGAGGCUCUGGAGGCAGCACCCUCCCUGGGGAAUCCUGGGGAUUCAGGAACAUCCCGAAGGUGCUCAUUUUCAUCCGUGGUUAAAUGCUGAGUUUGUCUUGGCUGCUGGGUUGAGCCCUGGAGCCACAUCCUGGCCGGAGCAGCUCUCCCGUCUAUAGGUCCUGGCCCACCUUGCCCCUUGUGCUUCUGCACUGGCGCCCCUUGUGCUUCUGCACUGGCACCCCUUGAGAGGGCAGCUUGGGCAAAAGAAAGGCUUGCUUUUGAGUAAAUUGGUGGCAGACCCCUCUCAGCGAACUUCAGCCCACUUGCUUUUGGAAAAUGACUCUGCGUGUUAUUAUGUUUUGCAAGACAUCAAAGGAUGUGGAAAAUCCAUUAUAAAUACCAGGGUAUGUUGCUCGCCCGAAGGGCCAGGGUUACUGAGGUGGGGGCGGGGGUGGAGCCUUGGGUUUCCAUUCAGUUCCUUCUGCUCUCCUUCCCCUCCGUGGCCCCAAGCAGGGACCUCUCCUCCCUGGGGCUUGACCCAGUGGCUGGAGGGAGGGAGGGGCCUGUCUGAAUUCACCCUCUGCACUGCUGCACCUGGAGCUGCUGCUGCGCCCAGGGUUCUUGGGUGCACCGGUAAAGGCGAGCAGCUGGUGGGUCAGAGGGAGGAGGCAAAGGGAAAUGAAAUGCUCCAAGCCCUCUCAAGGCAGAGAUUGGCAUCUUCCAGCAUUGAAGAGGCACUGUUGGGCGGGUGAGGCCUUCGGGAGGAAACAAACGCGGUGUGUAGAACAGUUUGCAGAGUGCUGGCCUGGGUCCCAGGGCCCGUCUGUCUCCCGCUUGUUGGUAAGAAUCCCUGAAGAAUUCUGUGCAGAAUCCCUCGUUUCCUCCAGCAGGUAUCUGACAGGCACCACAACCUGAGCAUGUGUAGAUGGACGCUGGUUUCUUCUGCUCUCUGCCUCAUCUCAGGUCCGGCCCUGCCACCUGUCCAGGGGCUUAGCCCAGAACCCCAGAAUCUGCUUUGAUGCCCCCGGGUCUGCAGGCAGACUUUGCUCUCGAAGGCACCUGAGUCUCACCUCCUUGGCCGUCAGCUUGGCACAAGUUACCCUGGCUGCUCCCCAGACUGUUCCCAUGGCCUGGCCCUGGCCGGGGACUCCCACUCUGCUUGCGGUCCUGAAGACAGCCAGAGAGGCCUUUGAGAGUGGAAGGCAGACACCAUAUGCCACCGCCCCCAGCUGACACUCAUAGGGGCUGCCCCUCAUGCUCUGGAUAAAACUCCGACUGGCUACUGUGCCUCUUUGGGUCUCCCCGGCCCAGGCCUGGCCAGGGGUUCCAGCCUUCACCAGGGGAAGGAGCAUCUGUGAGUCCAGGGAGUGUGCCUGGCCCAAUGCCUCUGCCCAGGGCCUUUGUGCCUGCCGUCCCCUCCCCAAUUCCACGCCUCCUGUUGCCCUCCGCAGAGGCACCUCUCCCGUGACCUCCAAGCACACCACCCACUAAAUCUCCGCCCUUCCUCUGCCUGCCUGCCCUCCCAGCACAGCCACUCUGUCCGCUCAGGCUCCUGAGCUGCUUACUUGUUCACCUGUCUUCUGCUGGAGACCAGGGAGCCCUCCCCUCGCUGGCUGUGGGGUCUGGGAACAAAGCAGUCUUAAUAAAUACUUCUCGAAAGAAUGGAGUAUGUGGUUGAAUAAAUAAGUCCCAGACAGGAGUUCCUUCUAAAAUGGUCUAGUUCAGGCUUCUCAGUUGCAGGUGGGGAAACUGAGGCCCUGAGCGGGCGGAGGUGGAGGGAAGUUGAGUGGCCCUGCCUGCAUCUCCCACCAGCGCUACCUCGCAUCCUCCUACAGCAUGCGAG